Molecule: unclassified non-coding RNA, 87 nt
Filed under: Pseudomonas cedrina
Lineage: Bacteria; Pseudomonadati; Pseudomonadota; Gammaproteobacteria; Pseudomonadales; Pseudomonadaceae
Source: RNAcentral
UGUGGGAGCUGGCUUGCCUGCGAUGCAAGCAACUCGGUCUAUCAGUUACACCGAGGUGAUGCCUUCGCAGGCAAGCCAGCUCCCACA